Long non-coding RNA from Daphnia magna, 10410 nucleotides. RefSeq lists it as uncharacterized. The record is from RefSeq and is a predicted model, not a curated record. NCBI's taxonomy places the organism in Eukaryota, Metazoa, Arthropoda, Branchiopoda, Diplostraca, Daphniidae. The transcript has 3 exons.
UAUUUAUUUAUUUUAUUGUUAUUAUUGUUAUUAUUAUUAUUAUUAUUAUUAUUAUUAUUAUUAUUUCUUUUUUAUUUGCCUUCUUCUUGAAUGACCGUGACUUUUAUCCGAGAUAAACAGUCUGCGUUUUGAUGUACUCUCCCUGGCUUGUAUUGUAUUCUAGAAUUUGUACUUGCUAGCUGUAUUGCCCACCAACCUAGCCUUCCAUUAUUAUCUUUUUGAUUUUGUAGCCAUUGAAGAGGGCUAUGGUCGCUGAUGAAGAAAAAAGGUUCGUCAAGAAGGUAGUGAAAGAUUUUAUGGCAAAGAUCACUGCGAGGGCUUCUUUUUCUACGGUAACGUAAUUUAAUUCUGGUUAUCUGAGCUGUCUACUGGCAUACGCAAUGACUACUUCAUUCCCGUCUUGAAUUUGAGACAAUAUCGCCCCAAUUCCAUAAUUACAUGCGUCAGUAAAAAGAAAAAAUUGCUUUCUAAAGUCGGGAUAUGCCAGAAUAGGCUUAGUUGUAAGGCAUGUUAGGAGGUUCUCAAAAGCUACCUGAUCUUCGUCAGUCCAAACGAAAGGUUCUUUUAAAGCUAAUUUAUGAGUUUUCUUUGUUAGUGGCUGGGCAAUCAAACCCAAUCCUUUAAUAAAACGUCUAUAGUAUUCUGCUAGUCCCAAAAAAGAUAUGAUGUCGUCAGCUGACUGAGGAACUGUAUAAUUAAGAAUUUUAUCAAUUUUUGCGGGAUCUGGUGCGAUGCCUUCUUUAGAAAUGAUAUGGACUAAAUAAUUUACUGAAUGUUUAAUAAACUGGCAUUUUUUGAGCUUAAGUCUAAGGUUAGCGAUUACUUUGCGAAUACUUUGCGUAUGUCUUCUAAAUGGGCUUCGAAUGUGUCUGAAAAAAUUAUGACAUCAUCCAAAUAAACUAAUGCUUUCUUUCCUAAGACGUCUCUUAGAACGUAAUUCAUUGUUCUUUGAAAUGUUGCCGAAGCGUUCCACAAUCCAAAAACCAUUCUUUUAAAUUAGUAUAAAUUAUUUUCUACGAUAAAUGCCGUUUUUUCUUUAGCUGAAUCUUCUAGUUCUAUCUGCCAGUAGCCAGAUGCUAGGUCAAGAGUCGUAAAAAACUUUUUUCCCUGUAGUUGAUCGAGAGUGGUAUCAUUUCUUGGUAAAGGGAAUGAAUUUUUUACCGUGACGCUGUUUAAUUUACGAUAGUCUACGUAAAAUCGUAAACUUCCGUCUUUAUUUUCCACGAGUACAACAGGUGACGCCCAGGGAGAGGUAGAUAACUCGGCGAUGUCUUUAUCCAACAUCUCCUUAAUUUGUCUUCUUAACUCUUCCUGAUGCUUCCUUGCUGCUCGAUAGGGUCUAAGUCUGAUAGGGCCUCUUCCUUGGGUGUCUAUACUAUGCUUAAUUAAACGGUAUAGAGUGGUUCGAGGUUGCCAUCUUGGAUAGUUAUUUCUCCCAGUUUGGUGCAGCCUCAAACAAAAAAGCAUUGGCAAUUUUAGUAUUUUUGGUGGGAAACUAAUGAAAGUGAACAAUUUUUGUAAUGGGUGUAGUUUACAAUGCCAAGUUAGUUACAAUAAUGAUUACUUACAUUACAAUAAUGCCAAGUUAGUUUACAACGAGCAAAUUGCAAGAGAGUCAUUUCUGAAGAAGCUUAGUGAUGAAGGACACUAUUCACCGUUUAAAUAUUCCGAUUGUGGUUUCGUCAUUUCAAAGGAAUAUUCUUUUAUUGGUGCAAGUCAAUACUGAAAUUAUAAUUAUUUAACGCACUGGCCACUUUCACUAUUUUAUCUACGAAACAUAUUUCAUCCUCGUCCGUGAAAAACAUUUCAUGAUGUAACGGUCCACUCAAAAUUGAAAAACGUUGUUUUAAUGUGCCAAUCACCCUUUCCGCAUGAAUUCUUACUUUAGAGAGUGUGCGAGACUCUCUAACUAGAUUUCAAAGCAAUCAAUAAUUGAGAUGCAGCGCUCAAAAUGUUCACGAAAAACCAUCGGAAGUGUAGCUUUUACUUCUCGUUCCCCCGGCCAAAAUAGAAAUGUUGGUACGAAUACUUGAUACAUGCCUGUGACCCAAAUGUGCACAUAUUUAGAGACGGUAGACUUUGCUAUGUUAAAUCGAUGUCCAAGAUCUUCAAGCCUGAGAUUUAAACGUAAUUUUACUAGGGUUAGGACAAACUGUUGGAAAUGCGUAAGGACUUCUAGUGGAUGUGGUUUCGGAGCAGAUUGUUCGAUGAAGUCAAAUAAGGCAAUUAAUUUUUCAUAGGAGUCGAUGCCAAUGUAAAACUUACAACGCUUGUCAUUAUUAAUAAUGAAUUUACUUAUAUCAAUCUGUAAACUGACAGUUGGCUGGCACUAUUUAUCUAAAAUUAACAAUGCCUUUUUGUUUGAGGUUGCACCAAACUGGGAGAAAUAACUAUCCAAGAUGGCAACCUCGAACCCCUCUAUAUCCUAAUUGAGAAUCUGUUGAAGCGAAAAUGUCUUUGAAAUCGUUUAAUAAUUUAAUUAAAGGUUUUUUAUAUUGAAAUUCUACGUUAGACAUGUAAGUGUCGAUUUCUGCUUGUUCUUCAUUUGGCAUUGUGUCAUUUUCAUCUUUUACGUCAAUUUUUCCAAUUAACUGACAAGCUGUUUCGACAUUGCCCAAUAAAAUUCCACGCGGUAAAUUAAUGAGUUUACUUGAAAUAUAACGAAUCAGCAAAUUGUAUUCCCCUUUAUCAUUUGUCUCGCCUAAAAAUUGAUCUACUGUAAUUCCCUCCGGAAGCUCUUUGCUAGGAGUAAACAGAAACGGAAAGCCAGGAAGCAAUUGAUAUUGUGACCUACUCAUUCUGGCUUUAAUGACCAUGCAAGUCGAUGGAAACGUCGUCAUCUUUUUGACUUAGGUCAUUAAAUUAUUGCUUGAAUAAAGAGGUGCUCUUCCUGCUUUGUCUCUCGUCAAAAAAAUAGUCUUAGUUCACCCACAUAGUACGAACUCAUGUUUAAAAGCAACUUAAUGCUUCAGAAAUGCAUGCUUCAGAAAUUCCGCUUGUAAUAACAAAUUCUUGUUCAAGUAUAUAUUCUCCAUAUUGGACAGGUAGCUUUACCUUCCCUAUGGUCUGUAAUUUUCUAUUCUGUACGUCAAAUAAAUCUGUGUCGGUCUCAGCACUGGCCAGUUGCAUUUCCGACGGUAAUAAUCUAUAAACUUUUUCGUGUAAAAGGCUACUUGGAGCGCCUGUAUCAAACAGCGCAUCAAAUUGAAUCUUAUGAAUCAAAAAAGAAAUACGGGGUGCUGAACUAUUUUGAAUAAUUUUAAUGUGAGAAAUCUGCCGGGUUUUUCCAUAAAAAGAGGUUUGACUACCAACUGACCCAAAGCUGCAGUUGGUACCUAAGCGUUUCCCUGUCCAUGAGAUGGAUCCGGAAUAUUAGGCUUUUGCUGCAUUUGUCUAUGGAUGCAUUCAUUCGCUCUAUGUCCUAUCUGCUGACAAGAAUAGCAUUUGAGGGGCUGUCGCAUAUCUGUAUUUUGUUCUCGAUUGUUUCUACAAUCCCUUUUUACGCGGCCUUUCAUGCCACAAGCAUGACAGGUCUGAGCGUGGGGAAUAUUGAGAUGUGAAGAAGGGUAGCAGUGGAGGGUUAUUAAUCGGGUACCUGUUUGGAAGGUUGCUCACAAAAUGGGGAGGUGGAGUAUUGUAAUUUUGUGGAGUAUUGUAAUUUUUUCUGUAUUGAUUUUAACCAUUGCUUGUUUGGUAUGAAUUUGCUUGUCUAUUAUUGGAAAAUCUGGUUCUAUUACGAUCACUGUUUUCUAUCAAUCGAGUCAUUGCUUUUUCCAAUCUUUCUACCUAGUCUGCGCUAGCAGGUCUCUGGGGGUUUCCAUCUUUUUCAGGGACCUUUUGGGGAUACCUGGUACCUGUCGCGAGGGUAUUUAUGGUUUCAGGUAGUUUCUCUAUGGCUUUUAAUAUUUUAAUACUGGUGGAGUUGUUUUCUACUGCGUUUAUAAAUUCUCUUUUGUCUUUUCCUUCUUUUUCUCCAUCCAGACAUAGAGCGUAUUUAUUGAUUUCGGCAACUAAGGCUUCGUAUGUAGUGAAAGGUUUGUAGCGGACUUUGUUUCUAUGAGUUUUGUCUAAUCCUUGAAGAAAUUUUUGACACAGCAUUUGGAGUCGUGUUGUUUCAUCAGUUUUUGUUUCAUCUUCCCCCUUGGGGUAUCCAUGUUCUAAAAUAUUUUUGAGGCGGAAACCAUAGUCAAGAAUAGCUUCGCCUGGAUGUCGUUUUACUUCUUCAAGUUGGGUUUGGAAAAAGUUUUGAUUUUCGUUUCCAUGGAAACGUUCUUGUACCUAUUACUUCUUUAUAAUCUUGAGUGACGCUUUCUAGGAUAUUUUGUAGAAUAUCAUAAGCAGAGCUGGCCAUUUUGGUCACCAACAUAUUAAUUUUUUCUUUUUCUUUCCAGUUGGACAUAGCGACAAUAUUUUCGAAUAGUUUAAUCCAGCGAUCGAAACGAGUUGAUGGUCCUCCCGUAAAAUUUUGCAGUUGGAUGAGCAUAGUUUGCGCGCGUUGUCCUUUUUGUAAUUCUUGCAGAUCUCCUAUUAUAGGGAUGACAUUUGUCACCAAUGAAUACUGAAGUGGAUCCAUUUUUAUUGUUUGUUUUCUGUGGAAUUGCUUGUUGUUUUCUGUUGGCGUCGAUUGCGCGACGGGUGGCACUGGCUGCUUUGUUUUGAUUGAAGUUGCGUUAAGUCUCCGCUUGGUGGUGUAUGUGGUGUUGUGUGGAAUUUGCUGACUGUCUCGUUUAUCUGUAGUUUGUUUGGAUUUUACUCCGCCAGAGGGUGGUUGUGUGUAUGCCUGCUGUGCUGUGAGAAUGGGGCUGAGGCUUUCGCAGCUGCUUUGACUUGCACUGUGUUGUCGGAUCGAGACUUUUAGCUGCUGUGCCGUGAAUUGUACCGUGUUUAGUAUUGCUUCCGGAAGAUCCGCUAGGUUUUCCAGGUGUGAGAGGAGAUUUAAAACUAGUUGGUGGGUUAGGUCUGGAACGGCUGCAAGGUUGACUAGGCGCCGUAAUAGGGAUGGGAGUUGAAGAAAAUCGUAGAUGAAUGUCGUUGAGUGAGCUGUGCAAAUUUUUUCUACGAGGCCCAAGGAUAGGUGAUGGAGAAUGCCGUGAGGAAUUGGAUGCUGUUUCUUCCUGCUGCUCUGAGUCUUCGCUGGAGUCAGCGUCUUGAUGAAGUGAGUGUAACGAUUGGCUUCGUUCAAAAAUUUGAGGGUCACUGUCUGAUUUUUUAAUGUGUGCUCCGUGUAGUCCGUCAAGCGAUCGACAAAGAUUUUGAUAAUUGAUGCAACGGCCGUAAGGGGCGUGUAUGGUCUAACGGUUGAUUUAGAAGGGAAUUAAUUUCUUCUAGAAACGGCAAUAGGUUGGGCAAUGGUUUUAACGGUUUCGGGUCUGAUAGUUGGGGAUAAUGGCUGAUUUUUUAAAUCGCGCUAUCGGAUAAUUUUGUUCGUGAACCGGUAAAAUUUGCUUGGAUUGUAAGGCUUUCUUGAGUGCAAAUAGGGCUAGCCGUAAAUGUUCUACAGGUAAUGGGGAAUGCGGUUGGUAAUUGACAGGGUGGGUUAAUAACGGCGCGUGCUUCACAUAUAUCUGUAGUAUCGACGCGUUGAUGUUCAUUUAAUGAGCUAAGUAAAGUGCUGUCAAAAUUAAAGUUGCUAGAAUUAGGCUAGGGUAAAGGUUCCGGAAUGUAACUUUAUUUAUUUCAGUGGCUGUCGGUUGAAUUAUAAAGGUUAUCUUAGGGUCAUUAACUACAGGAAGGGAGAAGGGGAGUUGUGGAGAAGAGCCCUGUAAUAAAACGCGUGACAGUUUUUCACUGUCACUUUCAAAAUCUGAAGUAGAUGGGGACUGCCGAAGCCAGUCAAUAGUGCAAGCAAGAAGUGAAGGACUAUUACUAAAAGAUGUCUUAAUAUCUUCCCACUUAAAAGAUUUUGGUUUCAUAAUAGUUUUAUAAUUUUUUAACCCAUGCUGUAAUAACUUAGCUGUUUUAAGGCUAACAGUUGAACGAGUAGAUCUCUUUUGGUGAGGAGAUGGUUCAGAUACAUCAAGAUUUACUUUAGCGACAGGUACAGAAGUAAGAUUAUCAAAGGUGGGCGAAAAGGGUUCAGAUCCGUGACGGACAGUACUCUAUUGAAUUACUAACAAUUUUAGGCUUAGCACCCGUAUACAAUGACAUUGUGGAUAAGUUCAAUACCGCUGCCACCAGAUGUAAAGGGAUCAUGGAUUUACUCAUUCUUCCCCUUAUGGAAUAAUUAAAUUAAAACCGAUUUAAAUAAAUAAAAAGGAGACGGCUGAUCCACAAUGCAAAUGUAUUGUUUACUAAGUCUAAGUCUACAAUUAUAAGUUAAAUGAGGUGUGACAUACCAAUUAGGAACAGUUGAACGAUGGGAGAUGGAAUACCUGGUUCACCGAAUUAAGUUAACUGAACUAAACUGGUACUUUGAACAGAGCUGUUAAGUCGCAGAGCUCGAAGGGAGCUGUGCUAGCUAACGGAACUGUCAGAACAAACAGAACUAUACUAUGAGAGGAAAGUCACGGCCUUUUAUAUGGAAAAGAUGCGGCCGUGACCUGAAUAAAGAAAACAAUAGGGAAAGAAGGCUCCGUGCAAAAGCCCCCCCCCCCCGACUCGAGUUGACAGUUCUGUAAACUCACUUAAGUCGAAUUUUAGGGAGGGUAAAGGGUAAUAUAGGGAGUUUGAGGUAUAAAUUAGUAUUUAAUAGUCCUGUGUUAAAGCCACCCUCGAACUGUGGUGACAGUUCGGACAGGUCACUUAAGUAGGGUUUAAGUGAAUAAUCAGUAAAAAUAUUUCUAUAUCUACGGUUAUUUAUGCAUUGUGAUCUUAAUCUAAAAAGGGUAGAAUGUUCUGGCGCGUGCGGUGCAGGUGCAUGAAUAUUCUAGGCGUGGGAACAGGUAAGAAGAUGUUCGGGGAGUUUCCGGCUAGACGAGGGUGCUUCCGUGUUAGUCGGCUGAUGUAAGAAUAUGUCUUCAGGCGGUGCAGGUGUCUUUUGGGGAGUCGAUGGGAAAAAGGUCUAUUUUGUUGCUGCUUGCAGUCUUAUGGUAGGUUCAAGUGGAGGCUGUGUGACGAGGAAUGUGGGGGAGAUAAAGUGAGGGAGCCAUGCUUGCAGAAUAGAAAUUCUGUUACAAAAGCAAGACCAAAUGACGAGGCCUUUAACGUUUUGCACAAUUUAUUCUCUGUUAAUUCCACCACAAUAAAAAAUAUCCACGUAUUUUUCUUACUUGCAACUCUUUAAUGAUUAUUAGGAAUAUCGGCUUACAAUCGAUUUACUGGGAAAAACUAGCAUUUUGUUUAUUACCAUUCUUUUGUAAUUUUCUGAAACCUAAACUGACUGAAAAGUGUUGCAUCACUUAUUCACCCUGUUUAGGAUAAAUUGCUAAAGUAGAAUAGGGGAUUCGGGGAAAAUAUCAGAUAAUACGAUACAGGUAUCAAUUCAACUUCUAGUAAAACACGACUUUUUAAAUGGUCAAGUUGAAUGGUAGGCCUACAUAAAUGUAAAAGCGGGCUCGGUGCCACUCAACGUAAGCGACGUUACAACAUGUAAAAAUCUAAAUUUCCCUCAACAGAAAUAUAAAGAUUGUAAGCAUAAAUCUACAAUACAAUGGCUUCGGGGUUUUAAGUUACAUAACCUUUGUUGAAUUUUUAUGUGGAAAGAUUCGUUUCGUUGUAGAGCGGGACCACGUACAGGAACCCUAUGAUAUCCUCGUUUAUAUAGUAUGUGACAAAUAUAUUACCAAAAUAUGUUAACGCACUGUUAAUUUUAUUGUUACGGUUUUCGUCGGUUAGGGGUAACGAACAUCGAGUGGGGUUUGUGAUAUUCGCAAAGGUAAUCUCUGGUUAACAGUUUUCAUUCAAAAAAAAAACUAUCAAAAAUCGUUAUCAGGGUACGGUUUCCGCAAAGGUACGCUUAGUUGACGAUUUUCGUCGGUUUUUGCCUGCGACAAUCAGUGGGUGUUAAUGAUUUUAGUUGUUUUUCUUGAGUAAUCUUGCUUGCCAAGGCUACCUCUAGAGACGCUUACUAAAAAUUAAAGUGUACCUAGUUUACUGUAGUUGCAUGUUCGUGGGCUUCGAGUCUUUGACGUUAUGCUUUUUUGGUUUACUAUCUCACAAAUUCUUGGAUUGUUUAAUAAGCCUGAUUGCGCUAUACUAAACUUAGUACUGGUUCUGAUGGAUAAUUUGUAUCGCCUGUCUGCCUUUCACACUGUUACUGCCCACACGUUUGUCCGAGGGGUUGUCGACUCGUAAGAAUCAUCGUACACCCUCGGAAAAGUAGGCAAGAAUCCCGAAGAAUCCCAAGAAUUCCUCAAAAAUCCUUAAUAAUCCCAAGAAUAUCUAAAAACUCCCAAGAAUCCCAAGAAUUAGAAGAAUAUCUCCUACGUUGGGGAAACCGACUAAAACUUCAGAACAUGUCUUCUUUGUUUUCAAUUAGAUAAAAUAUUAUCACCUGUUUGAUGAAGCAGUCGAACUCUGCCAUAUGUAAAUGUCAGAUUAAAGCUCAGAGAGAUAGUAAUGGACACUGGAAGAUUUCUAAUUAUACAAAGCAUGUCCAGCAGAUACAUCUCAGUAAACCAAAUAAUAUUUCUGCGAAAAGUGCCAGUGAUGGAGACCUGAGAAAUUUCUUGACUGUUCAAAAUGGUACUUCUUCUACUGAUGAUGACCGGCCAAACUCAGCUUGCAAUGGAAACGAUCUGAACACUCCCAUUCCACAGCAGUUGGAAUUUGUAAUAGUCGAAGUGCAUAAUCCUAGCAUAAAGAACAUCCAACAAGAGACUACUGUAAGCAUGGAUUCAUCUGUAUCUACAUGUAUGAUCGAAUCAGAUGUUCUCCAACAACAGACUGCUGAAACACCCUCAGGUGAAACUUCAACCAAGGCCUCAUCGUCGUUCAUGUAUCUUUCCAGUUUCGAUGGAGCCCAGAGACAGACAGAAACUGCUUCCAUGUCUUUCACACAUCCAGGUAUUUCCUUUAGUACAGUGACGCGAUUUUUGAAAACCCAAAAUAUCUUACCGUUUGCUAACAAAUUGCCAGUCCUGCUCAUAUUAUAAAUCUUAUAAAAAACAUGGGUGUUACCAAAGACAAGCAUGGAUUGCGAGAUGGAGAUUUAGAACUCAUUGAUAAGAUGAAUAAUGAUGCUGUAACUCGUCUGUGUAAUCCCCGGUUAACCGAAUUGUUGGGUAUUGUCUCUGGGUCGGAAGCGACACGGUUUUAUCUCAAUCUUAUGGACAGAGUUACUUCCAGUUUCCUAAACAAGAAAUUAGAGCCAUUAGAACGAGUGUACCGUCUGUGGUACUGUGUAUUUUGUCUCAGAUACUGGCGUUAUUGGUUGUCCUGCGAUGACGUAUAUCCUUUAACGAAGCAUUUCAUCACGCUGAACGCUUACUUGUGCAUCGAAAUCAAUGCUCAUUCAUUGGUAAUGUUAAUUUUAAGAUUACAAGAAAGCGGGACCCCUGAACUAUUUAUGCCAUGGCUGUUUUCAAGCCAGCCUUGUGAAUCCUAUUUCAAAGCAGCACGAUCGUUCACUCCUGUUGGCAGUAGUCAAUUAACUUUUACUUUACAAGAUUUUCUGUACAAUCGAUGUCGCAAAAUUGAUGUUCAAUUGCAAUUAAUUUCAUCGUCUAAAUCAGAUGGUAUUAGAUUGCCCAGAAUUGAAAAAAAACCUUAAACGCUUUGGGGGGAGCGGCGAGAGUUAUUUUUGUAAAUCUCUUCCGUCCAUUGAAGAAAUAGAAGCGACCAUCUUAAGAGCCAAAUAAGAUUCUAAAUCGACCAUGGUUAGCAUGGGAGUCAUUGUUUCAGAUGCCGAGUGUUUCAAUUUAGACAAUCGGUUAGCUUGGAAAAUGAAUCAGGCAGUACGUCAAAACGAACUCAGCAAUGAGCUUGAUGUUGACGAGGAAUGUGAAAGUAUUGAAAAUAAGGGAAAUGACUUUUUGGACGAAGUAGAUAGUUUUGAUGCAAGUGUUCUUACUUCUAUCAGUAAUGCCGAUUUUAAAGACUAUAGGGAGAUUCUUAAGCGUCACAUUGUCUCUAAUUGCAACGAACUCGGUAAUAAAAAUUUCGGUCGUCCUCGAUUUGGGCCUUUGUGCGACCCGACCCAUUUAAUCGAAUCUAGUCCAUUUGUUUUACUCACCAGCGAUGAUGGAAGCCAAAAAGUGAUAUAAAAUUAACUGUUGUAUGGUUCUGUGAGAAUGGUGUGCGCAAACAAAGUAAUGAUCGUCUUACAAGGGUAACUCAAAGCUCUAAUUUUCUUUUAAGUCGACAGUUAAUUGUUCGCUCGGUUUCUAAGCAGAAAGUCAGAAUUGGUGAUUGGUGCAUUUUUAAAUGUGAAAAAAAGGAAAUAAAAAAAGUAAAGCAAUGGUAGGGCUGCCAAUGGGGACAUUGCCUAUUUCAUUAUAUUAAACACGUUUGUCUUCUCUCUAGUGCAGCAAC